AUGAGGGUGAGGAGAUGGUCAGAGAGGGUAGGGCAUUUAGAAAGGGACAUGAUGUACAAAGGCACAGUACGUUAACAAGUAAAUGUGAUGUGCGUGGCUACAGCUGGGGCAGUGUAAACAUAACUAUGGCCUAAGCAACCAGCACACUAAACUCAAUCUUCUCCCUGGGCUACUCCUUUAUAGAUAUUCUUUCGUACUUUGAAGGGGACAUCCUAUCACCUGGUUCCAAGCCCACAACAUUUCCAGUUGACACCCUGAUAUUCAGAAUCAUGGUUCAUAUGUUUUCUUUGGAAUUCCCUGCCAACUGGCCACUCCCCUCACCUGGAAAGAACCUGAGGGCCUGACUACCUAGCAGUGCUGAGAAGUUCCUUGAGCCCUUGUGCUGGUGAAGAAUUCUACAGCAAGGGACUACAGACUGUCAAGAGUACAAGAAGCAGCUUUUUAAGCUGAGAAGAAAAGACCUUUUAACAAAAGGAUUCAUCGAUGACCUUCAGAGAGGAACCCAACUCCUGUGACUCCUUUUCCAGAGCUGUUCACAGUUCAUGAGGGCACAGUGAAGAGAACUCCCCAUCUUUAAAUUACCAAAAGUGACUUUUAACACCAGCUUUUCAAGUAAGGAUAGACAUUCUGUUAGAGACCGUCUCAGAAAUCUGGCCAUGAGGAAAAAGAUGGUCUCAUGUAUACAAUUCUGACUGCAUCUGAGCAGCAACAAAGGGGCAGAGGAAGAGAUCAGAGCAGAACCUUUUGGACAACACAAGGCAAUAAAGGCAACUGUCAUCUUGUACAGAAA
This is a long non-coding RNA of Callorhinus ursinus (northern fur seal), 790 nucleotides long. RefSeq lists it as uncharacterized. The record is from RefSeq and is a predicted model, not a curated record. NCBI's taxonomy places the organism in Eukaryota, Metazoa, Chordata, Mammalia, Carnivora, Otariidae.